RNAcentral lists this ribosomal RNA (253 nucleotides) under uncultured bacterium. RNAcentral describes it as "partial 16S ribosomal RNA". It matches the Rfam family "Bacterial small subunit ribosomal RNA", at positions 524 to 776 of the family's 1533-position model. The record is from RNAcentral.
UACGAAGGGUGCAAGCGUUACUCGGAAUCACUGGGCGUAAAGCGUGCGUAGGCGGUUCGUUAAGUCUGCUGUGAAAGCCCUGGGCUCAACCUGGGAACUGCAGUGGAAACUGGCGGACUAGAGUGUGAUAGAGGAUGGUGGAAUUCCCGGUGUAGCGGUGAAAUGCGUAGAGAUCGGGAGGAACACCAGUGGCGAAGGCGGCCAUCUGGAUCAACACUGACGCUGAGGCACGAAAGCGUGGGGAGCAAACAGG